RNAcentral lists this long non-coding RNA (545 nucleotides) under Anas platyrhynchos platyrhynchos (common mallard). RNAcentral describes it as "lncRNA (ENSAPLG00000018401.1)". The record is from RNAcentral. Lineage: Eukaryota; Metazoa; Chordata; Aves; Anseriformes; Anatidae.
AGCAGAUCAGAGCUGGUGGAUCCACUCUGGAGAUGAACUGCUGGCUGUACCCUGCAAGCCAGUACAGGGAGGGCUUCUUUCCUUUCUGCCACACUGCUGUGGAGUUAACAACGGCAGAGUGCAUGGAAUUGCACAGAACAAAGUCUGGAGUAAGAGCGAGAUCAAGCCUGCGUAUGUCUCCCCAGGUUACCAUAACUGAAAUAGGUGUAGCAACCCAUGAAAGCCUUCACUCUGAGAAAUGCACUGUACCAUUUUAUCAUCUGGUACAAUAAGAUGCCAUCAUACAGUGAGAUCAUCCUUCUGAUCCUGUCCAGAGUAAAUGAAACUGAAUAAGAUGGCCUUCUUCAAAAUUAUUAUUUUGAAGGUAAUGGUUUUGCUUACAGAUAUGCAAUGGUUCCACCUGAGAAGUACAAUUAUUUAUAUGAUGUUACAACCUAGUGUCCUGUUCUCACAGAUAUUUUUGAAGAUCCACUGGAUAGUACAACAAAAUAUUUAAUUUCAUUGUUCAUGUGCCAAGGGCUGGGUUUUCAGUUUCCUUUGAGUCC